This 279-nucleotide ribosomal RNA is filed under the name uncultured bacterium. RNAcentral's name for it is "partial 16S ribosomal RNA". It matches the Rfam family "Bacterial small subunit ribosomal RNA", at positions 506 to 784 of the family's 1533-position model. The record is from RNAcentral.
UGCCAGCAGCCGCGGUAAGACGGAGGGUGCAAGCGUUGUUCGGAAUUACUGGGCGUAAAGCGCGGGCAGGUGGUCCUUUAAGUCCCUUGUGAAAUUCCGGAGCUCAACUCCGGAUGUGCGUGGGAUACUGGGGGACUGGAGACUGGUAGAGGCGAGCGGAAUUCCUGGUGUAGCGGUGGAAUGCGUAGAUAUCAGGAAGAACACCGGUGGCGAAGGCGGCUCGCUGGGCCAGUUCUGACACUCAUCCGCGAAAGCGUGGGGAGCAAACAGGAUUAGAUA